CCUACGGGGCGCUGCAGUGGGGAAUAUUGGACAAUGUGCGAAAGCCUGAUCCAGCCAUGCCGCGUGUGUGAAGAAGGCCUUCGGGUUGUAAAGCACUUUCAGUGGGGAAGAAAGCCUUGGGGCUAAUACCCUCGAGGAAGGACAUCACCCACAGAAGAAGCACCGGCUAACUCCGUGCCAGCAGCCGCGGUAAUACGGAGGGUGCGAGCGUUAAUCGGAAUUACUGGGCGUAAAGCGCGCGUAGGCGGUCUGAUAAGCCGGUUGUGAAAGCCCCGGGCUCAACCUGGGAACGGCAUCCGGAACUGUCAGGCUAGAGUGCAGGAGAGGAAGGUAGAAUUCCCGGUGUAGCGGUGAAAUGCGUAGAGAUCGGGAGGAAUACCAGUGGCGAAGGCGGCCUUCUGGACUGACACUGACGCUGAGGUGCGAAAGCGUGGGUAGCAAACAGGAUUAGAUACCCCUGUAGUC
Molecule: ribosomal RNA, 465 nt
Filed under: Vreelandella stevensii
Lineage: Bacteria; Pseudomonadati; Pseudomonadota; Gammaproteobacteria; Oceanospirillales; Halomonadaceae
Description: partial 16S ribosomal RNA
Rfam family: Bacterial small subunit ribosomal RNA
Source: RNAcentral